RNAcentral lists this ribosomal RNA (498 nucleotides) under uncultured bacterium. Its description in RNAcentral is "partial 16S ribosomal RNA". It matches the Rfam family "Bacterial small subunit ribosomal RNA", at positions 29 to 507 of the family's 1533-position model. The record is from RNAcentral.
AGCGAACGCUGGCGGCGUGCCUAACACAUGCAAGUCGAACGUGAAAAGGGAAACCUGCGUCAAGUGGCGUACGGGUGAGUAACGCGUAGGUAAUCUACCCCAGAAUCUGGAAUAACCUGCCGAAAGGCGGGCUAAUACUGGAUAGAGCGAGGGAACUCGUAAGAGAGUUUUUCGGGAAAGGGAGCCCGCAAGGGCCUUCGUUCUGGGAUGAGCCUGCGUCUCAUUAGCUAGUUGGUAAGGUAACGGCUUACCAAGGCGAUGAUGAGUAGCUGGUCUGAGAGGAUGAUCAGCCACACUGGAACUGAAACACGGUCCAGACUCCUACGGGAGGCAGCAGUGGGGAAUCUUGCGCAAUGGACGAAAGUCUGACGCAGCCACGCCGCGUGAGUGAAGAAGGCCUUCGGGUUGUAAAGCUCUGUCGGAUGGGACGAACAUCUUCAUAGUGAAUAGCUAUGAGGACUGACGGUACCAUCAAAGGAAGCACCGGCUAACUCCGUG